Long non-coding RNA from Clupea harengus (Atlantic herring), 1705 nucleotides. The record is from Ensembl. NCBI's taxonomy places the organism in Eukaryota, Metazoa, Chordata, Actinopteri, Clupeiformes, Clupeidae.
CUCUCUCUCUCUCUCUCUCUCUGAACGAGGGUUAUAAGUAAGGUGACUGAUUCCUGGUCACAACUAGUUAGCUUUCUGAUCUUCACUUUUAGGGUCACUUGUCAAUGACGAGCCGCAGCAGUUCCGCUAAGCAUCCGCAAAGCACACGGUGGGCAAGAGCUGAUGCCUGUGCUUAAUCCAGUUGCCCAGCUUUGGAGCUGUUGACAACCGAUAACUCUUCGCGUGUUUAUCUGGCCAUUGAUGUGUGACAUUAUGCAGAGGUGGCGGGGCCAAGAAAAUAGUAAAAACAGGAAACUUAGAGGAGGCAACAUGACACACAUCGGGUUUCCUCGGAAACCAUGCUUUCUGGCUUACGCUUAAUGUCACACGCUACAACUGCUAGCUAGCUGGGUGGGAGGGUGGUUAAAGUAACCUUUUAUUAUACUAGUUAGUCGCAUCUAAUGAACCAUACCACCUUCUGAAUCACACUUACAUCAAAUACCGCUUACGUUCACCACGGAACUGAUAGAGUUGGAAUGGUCAUCCAACGUUACUCGAGUUAGCUGCUUAAAUUAUUCACUAUUAAACGUUAGCUAGCUAGCUGGCUAGCGACAUACCAACCAUGCCGCCAACAAGCAGGCGUCUUGGUGUCACAUCAGCAUCUUUCCAUAGAUGUGGGUAAUCUAACCGGCUAACUUAAAUAGGUCAUGUUACGAUUUUCAUCGCUAUAGAUAUUUAUAAAACAACUCCUGCAAAUUACCUCAAUACUUUGAUGCUCCAUUUCAGGUAACCUACAAACAGUCAGAAUUCCUACAACUUAGCAACCGAAGGCAUCAUUAAGUAACAACGUGGCUAUCCUUAGCUAAAAUUAACAAAGUAUCGUCAAGUAAUGUCAACACCAAACCUGCUGUGAUGUAAUUGACCACUUAUGCGACAUUAAAAAGAGAUUAUUCGAUAAUACACACAUCCAGCGUUUCGCCAGCCGACAACCUUACCUUACUGGCCACAGAACAAGAACAUCUUCCUCAGUGAAUUUCGCUGAUUGUAAGAUGACGUUAAGUUUCUCACUCGGCUAUGAACUCUAGCUAGAGUCUUUACACAUGCGGCGUGGCUGACGACAUCCUUCACAAUCUUACUCGUCUGUAGGAGGAGAUCCCUGACGUCGCACCGCUCAAAACGACACGCUAAAUUUCAUUUAACAAGGAAAUGACUUGGUUCAUCUACGGUCGUCUCUCUGGUCUAAACAUGGUCUAUUAUAUUGUAUAAUAUCUAUUAUGUAGUAUCUCACAUCGUCUCCUAGAGGAGCGCACUUUGUCAACAGACCCCUAGAGACUGCAUUAAGACAAAUUAAAUUAAAUGAAGGUUAGUGACUGAGCCACGUAGAUCAUGAGACAGAACCAUCUCACCUCUUUAAUCAAAGCAGCAAAGGCGUCGCUUUACCGGGGCAGGUAUUUCUGAAAAAUAUAUCUAUCCAUAGGAAUAACCGCAGAGUGAGCUGCCAAGGCAAUCAACGUCUCUGUGCUGGGUGGAUAAUGGCUUUUAAAAAGCAAAAACCCAUCUGAAGUGUCUAAGCCCAUGCCUUACUUGUAGGAUUUUUAAUAAAGGGUUUCUAUGCUUAAGCAGAACCGGUUUACUCUGAUGUUAUUGACAGUAGAAGCCUCACCGUCCCAUACACUACAGCUGUGGUGGCAGUGCGUCGCCCCAAUCGCGCUUAUAUGGACAAGCC